UGGCGGCGUGGUUAAGACAUGCAAGUCGAACGAGAGAAUUGCUAGCUUGCUAAUAAUUCUCUAGUGGCGCACGGGUGAGUAACACGUGAGUAACCUGCCCCCAAGAGUGGGAUAGCCCCGGGAAACUGGGAUUAAUACCGCAUAAAAUCGCAAGAUUAAAGCAGCAAUGCGCUUGGGGAUGGGCUCGCGUCCUAUUAGUUAGUUGGUGAGGUAACGGCUCACCAAGGCGAUGACGGGUAGCCGGUCUGAGAGGAUGUCCGGCCACACUGGAACUGAGACACGGUCCAGACACCUACGGGUGGCAGCAGUCGAGAAUCAUUCACAAUGGGGGAAACCCUGAUGGUGCGACGCCGCGUGGGGGAAUGAAGGUCUUCGGAUUGUAAACCCCUGUCAUGUGGGAGCAAAUUAAAAAGAUAGUACCACAAGAGGAAGAGACGGCUAACUCUGUGCCAGCAGCCGCGGUAAUACAGAGGUCUCAAGCGUUGUUCGGAAUCACUGGGCGUAAAGCGUGCGUAGGCGGUUUCGUAAGUCGUGUGUGAAAGGCGGGGGCUCAACCCCCGGACUGCACAUGAUACUGCGAGACUAGAGUAAUGGAGGGGGAACCGGAAUUCACGGUGUAGCA
This 622-nucleotide ribosomal RNA is filed under the name Akkermansia muciniphila. RNAcentral's name for it is "bacterial SSU rRNA". It matches the Rfam family "Bacterial small subunit ribosomal RNA", at positions 37 to 680 of the family's 1533-position model. Lineage: Bacteria; Pseudomonadati; Verrucomicrobiota; Verrucomicrobiia; Verrucomicrobiales; Akkermansiaceae. The record is from RNAcentral.